RNAcentral lists this transfer RNA (74 nucleotides) under Llavea cordifolia. Its description in RNAcentral is "tRNA-Met". It matches the Rfam family "tRNA". From Rfam's summary of the family: Transfer RNA (tRNA) molecules are approximately 80 nucleotides in length. Their secondary structure includes four short double-helical elements and three loops (D, anti-codon, and T loops). Further hydrogen bonds mediate the characteristic L-shaped molecular structure. tRNAs have two regions of fundamental functional importance: the anti-codon, which is responsible for specific mRNA codon recognition, and the 3' end, to which the tRNAs corresponding amino acid is attached (by aminoacyl-tRNA synthetases). tRNAs cope with the degeneracy of the genetic code in two manners: having more than one tRNA (with a specific anti-codon) for a particular amino acid; and 'wobble' base-pairing, i.e. permitting non-standard base-pairing at the 3rd anti-codon position. Lineage: Eukaryota; Viridiplantae; Streptophyta; Polypodiopsida; Polypodiales; Pteridaceae. The record is from RNAcentral.
CGCGGGGUAGAGCAGCUUGGUAGCUCGCGAGGCUCAUAACCUUGAGGUCACGGGUUCAAAUCCUGUCUCCGCAA